GAGCAAUCCCAAAACAGCUACUUGGGCCUGGGAAAUGAAAAACAGAGCAGUGGGAGAUGUAAUUAGGGGGAGACUCUCCUGGGGAAAUCAGGAGCUUGGGAUAGGCUAUAAUCUCUAUAGCAGCCAGCCAAUGGGGAAACAGGGGAGGGAAAUUCUAAUGGGGAACAGGGAAUAAAAAGGUGUGCGUCUGUCUGACACCUGUGCCUAUUCCUAGGCCACCCUCCCUUGUAAGAUCACUAAUAAAGCUUUCCUGGCUUCAACAUCCAGUGGUUUCAUUUCUUGGUGAGCAGGGUUCUCACAGUACUGAUCCAGUUACAUUGAAUUCUUACUCCCACACCUCCUAGACACCUCACCUUAAAUGCCUAAUUUUGAAUUAUUUUACAUUGAGUGUGGAUCUGCCCUUAGGGUCAGACAUCCCAAUUAUCCUGCUGGAUCUGACUUAAAAUGAGCCCCAUUCUAAUUUGCGUCAGGAGAAACGUGCUAACCCAGCUGACUGCCUUUUGCGACAGCCUCCGUCCUGAAACUAAGCUUGUUUGGCUGUGAAUCACUUGCUUGCCUGGAAAUCUCCAGAUUGCCUCUUCCUUGCUCUCCCCUCGCUAUCCAGAAAGUCUCUCAUCUUUCCUCCAAUAAGAAAGCGGGUGGCAGAGUGAUGGGGGGAAGGGGGAGAGGAGCUCUCAGAGACGACCAACCUGGUGGGAGGUGGCCCAGGUGGAAUAAGAGCCCUGGGGUGGAGUUUGGAGGCCUGGGAGGGGUCUAGGGCAGGAAGAGGGCUCAUCCCAGGGGCCAAGGCAUUCCAGGUGGCGGAGGGCAGUGCUUGGGGAGGAGAGGCAGGCAGGGGCUGGAGCUACUGGCCCUGAGUGUGAUUGGAGGAAAGGGCCCUUCCUGGGAGCCUCAGAGGCGGGGCAGAGGCUGGGAGGACCCUCCCAGAGUGGGCUGGCUGAAAACAGGAACUUGUGCUCAGAGGGCUCUGCCUUCUCUUACAGCUGUACUAUUUCUUCCUUCCCCAGGAGCUGAGACCUGUCUUCUUUCCGAGGAGCUGAGAUCUCUCUGCCUUCUUUCCCAUGUGCUGAGAUCUCUCUGCCUUCUUCGCCGGGAGCUGAGAUCUCUCUGCCUUCCUCCCCGGGAGCUAAGAUCUCUCCGCCUUCCGGAAGCCAGGACCCAGGACCCAGGUUUCCUGUCUCUCCGCCCCCAGCCUUUGGUUAGAGAUUGCGAUGUUCUGCCUUCAGGCCAAGCUCCCUGUAAGGGCCAGGUCUCCCAUGAGGGAUUCCAAGCCUAAGCUCUACCGGAGGGUCCCAGGAAUCCCCCCCAGCUCCUAGUUAGACCUCAGCACACAGCCAUUCCGCUUUCCCAGGCUCAGUGUCCACCUGGAGCCCUUCCUCAGUGUUCCUGAUCUCCCUGCCAUGAGCUGGCUUAGGAUAUCUCCUUUCCAGACCCUACCUGUGCUCCCCUUUCCCAGGUCUCCUGCUUUCCCUGCCCCCUCUUCUUUCAGAGCCCUCAGGGCCCUGCGGGGAGGGGGGGGGGUGUUGAAUCCCAGACUGGAUUUCUCUCUGUGCCUUAGGCUUUCCCGGGUCAUCCCUGCUGGCUCCAUCCCAGAGCUGUCCCCCAUCCCCAACCUUCCCUCCCUUCUAGGUCAAGC
This is a long non-coding RNA of Phascolarctos cinereus (koala), 1636 nucleotides long. The record is from Ensembl. NCBI's taxonomy places the organism in Eukaryota, Metazoa, Chordata, Mammalia, Diprotodontia, Phascolarctidae.